AUCGAACGCUGGCGGCAGGCUUAACACAUGCAAGUCGAGCGGAGCGGCGGACGGGUGCGUAAUGCUUAGGAAUCUGCCUGGUAGUGGGGGAUAACGUCCGGCAACGGGCGCUAAUACCGCAUACUAUCAGAUGAGCCUAGGUCGGAUUGGGUAGUGGGGGGGGUAAAGGCCUACCAAGGCGACGAUGCGUAACUGGUCUGAGAGGAGGAUCAGUCACACUGGAAGGGGGACACGGUCCGGACUCCUACGGGAGGCAGCAGGGGGGAAUAUUGGACAAUGGGCGAAAGCCUGAUCCAGCCAUGCCUCGUGUGUGAAGAAGGUCUUCGGAUUGUAAAGCACUUUAAGUUGGGAGGCGUUACCAACAGAAUAAGCACCGGCUAACUUCGUGCCAGCCGCCGCGGUAAUUC
Molecule: ribosomal RNA, 407 nt
Filed under: uncultured bacterium
Lineage: Bacteria
Description: partial 16S ribosomal RNA
Rfam family: Bacterial small subunit ribosomal RNA
Source: RNAcentral